AAACAAGGAUUCCAUUGGGACAUAGAUUAGGGAUCCCUCUCUUUUUACAGUUCUCACAGGGCCAAACGCGAUCACACUAUUUACAAGAAAUUACUGUUAGAAGGCAAAAUCAAAAAAAAUAGUCAACAAGCAUCAAUUCUGAUGUUUCGUUGUGCCAAUCAAUUACCUUUAGUUUUAAUCGAUGGCAUUCUCUACAAGAAGUGAUCUUUCGAUGCCUUUUCGUUCCUUUUGUCCCCGGUUUUUUGCCAGACGCGGACAUUUAAGCUGACGGGGUCGAUGGAGAAAGUUUGCUGGAAGUGAGAGGUACCCCAGUGAAGCAGAAAACCAACCAGUCAUCGAGGCAUAGGAAAUGCACGGUCAAACAUCUACAUCUUAUACACAUCUUUAAAAUAUACUAGAAAGAUCAUUUUCAUUAUAGUUCAUCUGUGCUAGUGAAGCAAAAACCAACACUUUGUUUUAACAUGCAACAGCGAUGCUUCUGACACAUUGCGACAAAAGCAUCUGAGAUUCGGUCAUUAACUUUUCAUUGAAAUCCUAAAAAACGGAUUUCUUGUGUUUAGGCGACUCGUUCGACAUACUCGACAUGAAAAUAUGAGAUUCAAAUGUUCAUUUCGACAUAUCGGUAUUGUGAGAUAUUGCUACCCAGCAGACAAGAAUCUCAAUUGCGAACCGAAUUGCUGGAGUUAAUGUAUAAAGUUCAUU
Molecule: non-coding RNA, 702 nt
Organism: Schizosaccharomyces pombe (fission yeast)
Lineage: Eukaryota; Fungi; Ascomycota; Schizosaccharomycetes; Schizosaccharomycetales; Schizosaccharomycetaceae
Source: the annotation of a GenBank genome assembly